Trematomus bernacchii (emerald rockcod) is the source of this 1604-nucleotide long non-coding RNA. RefSeq lists it as uncharacterized. The record is from RefSeq and is a predicted model, not a curated record. The transcript is spliced from 15 exons. Lineage: Eukaryota; Metazoa; Chordata; Actinopteri; Perciformes; Nototheniidae.
ACUGUCUCUUUUGAAAUCGUCAGAAGGUCCAAGAAGUGUCCAGGUCCCUGGUUCCUGGUUGUUUUUGCUUAAAUGUGUUGAGAGUGAGUAAAUAGAAACAUUACUAAGUGUUUCGACAACACGUAAGUGUAGCUUUAGUUUGUGAUUCUGGUUAAGUCGUAGAGUUUAAAGCUGAAGAGUCACGUUAGCAUUUCCGCGAUGGGCCCCAAGCAGCCACGUGGAGAUCACUGUGCGAUGGACAAUAUGAAAGACAAAGUUAAACAUGGUGGCCCUCACUCUGGUGGCUCUUUGAACUCAAUGAUUGAAAAGUCGAGACUGAGAUGAAAACCUUAUGAGCUGCCUGUGAUGUCAUGGAUUGUUCCUCGUCUUCCCAACUAAACCAGCUGACUGGACACGACUCAUUCCUUGCAGCAAAAAGCCUGAGCUGCCAUAAGAUGUGCUGUAGUCAUGCAGUGCUGCGCAUACUUCCAACUGAACCGACUGACUGGAGAACAUACAUUUUUGUGCAGGAAAAAACCUGUGAGGUUCCAUAAGAUGUGCUGUAGUCAUGCAGUGCUGUGCAUACUUCCAUCCAAACCAGCUGACGAAGAACAUCAAUUUUUGCAGAAAAAGGCCUGUGAGCUGCCAUAAGAUGUGCUGUAGUCGUGCAGUGCUGUGCAUACUUCCAACUGAACCAGCUGACAGAAGAACACUCACUUUGUGCAGGAAAAACCUGUGAGCUGCCUAAGAUGUGCUGUAGUCAUGCAGUGCUGCGCAUACUUCCAGCUGACGAAGAACAUCCAUUUUUUUUUGGAGCAAAACACCUGAGCUGCCCUAAGAUGUGCUGUAGUCAUGCAGUGCUGCAUAAACAUCCAACCCAACCAGCUGACAGAAGAACACUCACUUUGUGCAGCAAAAAGCCUGAGCUGCCAUAAGAUGUGCUGUAGUCAUGCAGUGCUGCGCAUACUUCCAACUGAACCGACUGACUGAAGAACAUACAUUUUUUUUUUGCAGGAAAAAACCUGUGAGCUGCCAUAAGAUGUGCUGUAGUCAUGCAGUGCUGUGAAUACUUCCAUCCAAACCAGCUGACAGAAGAACAUCCCUUUUUUUUUUUUGGAGGAAAAACCUGUGAGCUGCCUAAGAUGUGCUGUAGUCAUGCAGUGCUGCGCAUACUUCCAGCUGACGAAGAACAUCCAUUUUCUUUGGAGCAAAACGCCUGAGCUGCCCUAAGCUGUGUCGAGUCAUGCAGUGCUGCGCAUACUUCCAACCAAACCAGCUGACAGAAGAACACUCACUUUAUGCAGGAAAAAAAACCUGUGAGCUGCCAUAAGAUGUGCUGUAGUCAAGCAGUGCUGCGCAUACUUCCAUCCAAACCAGCUGACAGAAGAACAUCCCUUUUUUUUUUUUGAGCGAAAGGCCUGUGAGCUGCCAUAAGAUGUGCUGUAGUCAUGCAGUGCUGCAUAAACAUCCAACCAAACCAGCUGACGGAAGAACACUCACUUUGUGCAGAUGAUCGUGGGACUCAUGGACACUGAUCUGAAGAAGGAGAACUUGUUUGUUCAAAAAACAUUUCACAUUGUAAAAAGACACUGAUCCAUUGAAAUAAAGUCCUAUCUGCCUGAUAA